Molecule: ribosomal RNA, 254 nt
Filed under: uncultured bacterium
Lineage: Bacteria
Description: partial 16S ribosomal RNA
Rfam family: Bacterial small subunit ribosomal RNA
Source: RNAcentral
UACGUAGGGUGCAAGCGUUGUCCGGAAUUAUUGGGCGUAAAGAGCUCGUAGGCGGUUUGUCGCGUCUGCUGUGAAAACCCGAGGCUCAACCUCGGGCCUGCAGUGGGUACGGGCAGACUAGAGUGCGGUAGGGGGAGAUUGGAAUUCCUGGUGUAGCGGUGGAAUGCGCAGAUAUCAGGAGGAACACCAAUGGCGAAGGCGAGUCCCUGGACGAUACCUGACACUGAGGCACGAAAGCCAAGGGAGCAAACGGG